This 432-nucleotide ribosomal RNA is filed under the name uncultured bacterium. RNAcentral's name for it is "partial 16S ribosomal RNA". It matches the Rfam family "Bacterial small subunit ribosomal RNA", at positions 29 to 507 of the family's 1533-position model. The record is from RNAcentral.
AACGAACGCUGGCGGCAUGCCUAACACAUGCAAGUCGAACGAGACCUUCGGGUCUAGUGGCGCACGGGUGCGUAACGCGUGGGAACCUGCCCUUAGGUUCGGAAUAACUCCCCGAAAGGGUGCUAAUACCGGGUAAUGUCUUCGGACCAAAGAUUUAUCGCCUUUGGAUGGGCCCGCGUUGGAUUAGCUAGUUGGUAGGGUAAAAGCCUACCAAGGCGACGAUCCAUAGCUGGUCUGAGAGGAUGAUCAGCCACACUGGGACUGAGACACGGCCCAGACUCCUACGGGAGGCAGCAGUGGGGAAUAUUGGACAAUGGGCGAAAGCCUGAUCCAGCAAUGCCGCGUGAGUGAUGAAGGCCUUAGGGUUGUAAAGCUCUUUUACCCGGGAUGAUAAUGACAGUACCGGGAGAAUAAGCUCCGGCUAACUCCGUG